This 267-nucleotide ribosomal RNA is filed under the name Arachnodes brunnipes. RNAcentral's name for it is "partial 28S ribosomal RNA". It matches the Rfam family "Eukaryotic large subunit ribosomal RNA", at positions 688 to 921 of the family's 3401-position model. Lineage: Eukaryota; Metazoa; Arthropoda; Insecta; Coleoptera; Scarabaeidae. The record is from RNAcentral.
GAGUCAUUGGGACUCUAUUAAACCUAAAGGCGCAAUGAAAGUAAAGGUCCGCCUCGCGCGGACCCAGGGAGGAUGGGUCCGUCCACGGACGGGCCCCGCACUCCCGGGGCGUCUCGUUCUCAUCGCGAGAAGAGGCGCACCCAGAGCGUACACGCUGGGACCCGAAAGAUGGUGAACUAUGCCUGGUCAGGACGAAGUCAGGGGAAACCCUGAUGGAGGUCCGUAGCGAUUCUGACGUGCAAAUCGAUCGUCGGAACUGGGUAUAGG